UACGUAGGUGGCAAGCGUUAUCCGGAAUUACUGGGUGUAAAGGGUGUGUAGGCGGGUUUGCAAGUCAGAUGUGAAAAUUAUGGGCUCAACCCAUAACCUGCGUCUGAAACUACAGAUCUUGAGAGUGGGAGAGGUAAACGGAAUUCCCGGUGUAGCGGUGAAAUGCGUAGAUAUCACGCAGAACCCCGAUUGCGAAGGCAGCAUACCGGCGCCCGACUGACGCUGAGGCACGAAAGUGCGGGUAUCGAACAGG
Molecule: ribosomal RNA, 253 nt
Filed under: uncultured Oscillospiraceae bacterium
Lineage: Bacteria; Bacillati; Bacillota; Clostridia; Eubacteriales; Oscillospiraceae
Description: partial 16S ribosomal RNA
Rfam family: Bacterial small subunit ribosomal RNA
Source: RNAcentral